This 290-nucleotide unclassified non-coding RNA is filed under the name Bombus terrestris (buff-tailed bumblebee). The record is from RNAcentral. Lineage: Eukaryota; Metazoa; Arthropoda; Insecta; Hymenoptera; Apidae.
CAAGAGAACCUACCCUAAGUCCACAAGACGCCAGGAUGGUCAUCGUGGGGUUUUAGUCGGUAAGAGUCCGACACUACCCGGACGCGUCUGGUGGCGCCCGGGUGUCCAUGAGGAUUUCCCCACGUAUAAAAAAAAAAAAAAAAAAAGGUUGGGGUUAGGUUGGGGUUAGGUUGGGGUUAGGUUGUCAACGUCCGUUGGCUGGGGUGAAACACUCGUUCCCGUUAGAUCACGAAAGUUAAGCACCCCAGGUUGCGGGGCGGUCUGGGAUGGGUGACCGCUCCGUGAUGACG